This 626-nucleotide ribosomal RNA is filed under the name Pucciniastrum agrimoniae. Its description in RNAcentral is "partial 28S ribosomal RNA". It matches the Rfam family "Eukaryotic large subunit ribosomal RNA", at positions 50 to 654 of the family's 3401-position model. Lineage: Eukaryota; Fungi; Basidiomycota; Pucciniomycetes; Pucciniales; Pucciniastraceae. The record is from RNAcentral.
GCGGAGGAAAAGAAACUAACAAGGAUUCCCCUAGUAACGGCGAGUGAAGAGGGAAAAGCCCAAAUUUGUAAUCUGGCUCUUUUAGAGUCCGAGUUGUAAUUUUGAGAACUGUUUUCCGUGCUGGACCAUGUACAAGUCUGUUGAAAAACAGCAUCAUUGAGGGUGAAAAUCCCGUACAUGAUAUGGACUACCAGUGCAAUGUGAUACAGUCUCUAAGAGUCGAGUUGUUUGGGAAUGCAGCUCAAAGUGGGUGGUAAAUUCCAUCUAAGGCUAAAUAUAGGUGAGAGACCGAUAGCAAACAAGUACCGUGAGGGAAAGAUGAAAAGAACUUUGGAAAGAGAGUUAACAGUACGUGAAAUUGUUAAAAGGGAAACAUUUGAAGUUAGACUUGUUAUUGUUGGUUCAGCUUUCUUUUUUGAAGGUGUAUUCCAAUGGUUAACAGACCAGCAUCAAUUUUUGGGUGUUAGAUAAGGGUCUUGAGAAUGUAGCAAUUUCGGUUGUGUUAUAGCUCUUGACUUUGAUAUAAUGCUUAGGAUUGAGGAACGCAGUGAGCUUUUUAUUAAGUGGAUGCCUUUGGGGAUCUUCUCACUACGGAUGUUGGUGUAAUAGCUUUAAAUGACCCGUCU